AUUUGGCCGCCCAGCAAAGACAUCAUCAGGUCGCCCUUCACCCAGUGGAAUGCUGACUGCUGCCAGAUAAACUAACGAGCAUUUGAGGUCCACAAGGACGAGGCUCAGAGCUGAAUUGAACACGAGGUUCUGGGCUGAGGUAGAUCCCGGGAAGAAGCCCUUAAAAAGAAAUAUUUUGCCUUGUGAUUCUCAAAGAGCAUUGUGAGAUGGGGUCAGUCAGGUUUCAAAGUUCUUGGAGUGAGUCAGCCGUUUCCACUGCCUCAUACAAGGCAGUAGUGUGCAUCCUGUAGGAAGUCUGAAGCACAGGUUAGGCAAAGGCAAGCAGGUCACGGAAUGACUAACCAUGCUGCUGCCCUUGUGACCCAGGGACAGCCAGGGAAGGAGCUGGGUUUGCAGGCAGCAAGGCACAAAGAUCUUCACAUUCGGCUCCCACGUGGUGCUGAACCCAGAGCACCAAGCAGGAUUCAAGUAUUUUGUUUCGUGCGCAUUUCCAACCCAUCAAAUCAGCUGCAGGCACCGCACCGUCUAACAGACCCAGAAGGCUGUAAAGUUCCAGCCCGGCAGACAGUAGAGAGGACGGGAGGCAGCAGCGAACCAGCGUUCUCAGCAUCCUGACUCAGGCUGAAUGGAUGUAGCUUUUGGUACCACCCUUUCCAACGAUGCGUCUGAACUUGGCUAUCCUGCCUCUUGAAGAACCAACCUGCCUUCAUCUUGGGCUUAAAAGCCAUCUUAUAAGUAAAGACAAACUAAGUUCAUUCGGCUUAUGAUCAAACCUCUGUUUCUCAAGGAUUGGGCUAUGUCCACCUGUAACCUUAACUACAAAUUAGUCUGUAGUGUCUCUUCCAGGAAACGGAAACCAUUUCUUUGUUCAAAAAGUGAUUAUGACCAUCUUGCAACCCUACCUUUGUUUCAAAAGGGUUAUGACUGACUACCUGUUGUUAUUGAAAGGUCCAGGCAUUACACUGGCCUGCCCUGUUACCUGGCAGAAUGCACUCAGGCAGCACUCUGGCCAGCCCAGAGUUCCAUGAAAACCACACAGGUGCAAAGGACCCCUUUAAAGGACUGACCCCUGCCUGC
Long non-coding RNA from Mesocricetus auratus (golden hamster), 1077 nucleotides. RefSeq lists it as uncharacterized. The record is from RefSeq and is a predicted model, not a curated record. The transcript is spliced from 5 exons. Lineage: Eukaryota; Metazoa; Chordata; Mammalia; Rodentia; Cricetidae.